UACAGAGGUGGCAAGCGUUGUUCGGAAUUACUGGGCGUAAAGGGCGCGUAGGCGGCCUUCUAAGUCAGACGUGAAAUCCCCAGGCUUAACUUGGGAACUGCGUCUGAUACUGGGAGGCUUGAGUGCGGGAGAGGGAUGUGGAAUUCCAGGUGUAGCGGUGAAAUGCGUAGAUAUCUGGAGGAACACCGGUGGCGAAGGCGGGUCUCUGGGCAACAACUGACGCUGAGGAGCGAAAGCGUGGGGAGCGAACAGG
This 253-nucleotide ribosomal RNA is filed under the name uncultured bacterium. Its description in RNAcentral is "partial 16S ribosomal RNA". It matches the Rfam family "Bacterial small subunit ribosomal RNA", at positions 524 to 776 of the family's 1533-position model. The record is from RNAcentral.